GAUGAACGCUAGCUACAGGCUUAACACAUGCAAGUCGAGGGGCAGCAUGGUCUUAGCUUGCUAAGGCCGAUGGCGACCGGCGCACGGGUGAGUAACACGUAUCCAACCUGCCGUCUACGUCUUGGACCUAGACCUUACUGAAAGGAAGAUUAAUACAAGAUGGCAUCAUGAGUCCGCAUGUUCACGAUGAUUAAAGGUAUUCCGGUAGACGAGUGGGGAUGCGUUCCAUUAGAUAGUAGGCGGGUAACGCCACUAGUCUUCGAUGGAUAGGGGUUCUGAGAGGAAGGUCCCCC
This 293-nucleotide ribosomal RNA is filed under the name uncultured bacterium. Its description in RNAcentral is "partial 16S ribosomal RNA". It matches the Rfam family "Bacterial small subunit ribosomal RNA", at positions 28 to 309 of the family's 1533-position model. The record is from RNAcentral.